Long non-coding RNA from Panicum hallii, 1572 nucleotides. RefSeq lists it as uncharacterized. The record is from RefSeq and is a predicted model, not a curated record. NCBI's taxonomy places the organism in Eukaryota, Viridiplantae, Streptophyta, Magnoliopsida, Poales, Poaceae. The transcript is spliced from 5 exons.
CCCGGGGCCCGAGCCCCCUGCACCCCCGCCACCGUCCCCGCCCCGCGCGGCCGCCGCCGCCGCCCCGCGCCCCUCUGCCCCACGGGCCCCCGCGCGGCUCUGCCUCUGACCCCACGGCCCCCGCGGCCGCCGCCACCGCCGUCCCACGCGGCCCCUCGCGGCCCUACGGCCCCCGCCGCCGCCCCGCGCCCCUCUGCCCCGUGGGCCCCCGCGCAGCUCUGCCUCUGCCCCCACGGCCCCCGCGGCGGCCGCCGCCGCCCUGCGCGGCCCCUCGCGGCCCCACGGCCCCCGCCGCUGCCGCCGCCGCCCCGCGCCCCUCUGCCCCGUGGGCCCCCGCGCGGCUCUGCCUCUGCCCCCGCGGCCCCCGUGGCGCACCCGCUCUUCACCGGCCACCCGGGGAUAGAUCUCCAAUAACGAGGCUGCGCCAUCGCCACCCAGCAUUCUUCCUGCUAGUUUACUCCAUAAAAGAAGCUCUUUCUUCUUGACUCUAUGCAACAUGCAUUUUUGAACUAUGCAUAUAUGAUAGUCUAAGAUCUGCUAAGUUUUAUUAAUAGCUUGUGCUAAUUAAUUAGUUGACUUUGCACAUAUGUAGUGUCCGUGUCACUAUCAUGGAACAUGAUUUUCCAUAUACACCUAUGUUUUACAUUUUCUCAGGUGCAUUCCCUCCAUUUAUGUAAGUACUUUUUCACUGUCAACUGAGACACUGCUCUUACAGAAUAUUAUUACUUGCAAUAUAUCGUGCUGUUUAACUACAUGAAUAGGUUGGUAUAAAUUGCAUUGUUACGUUGUAAACCUAUUGUUCAAAUAUGGUUGUCAUGUCUAUGUUUUGACCUAAAUUUGCUAAUUUCUAAGUACUGGUCUUAGGGAACAUGUCAGCAGAGUCGUCUUCAUCAUGACAGGGUGAACUGGUCUCCAAAUUGCUUACCACGUGGAUCUGUAAAUGAUACAGAAGGCAGCUUUGCCUUUCAACUUGUGUACUGGAAUUUUAUGAAUAUUGUAAUUUUUUGGAAAAUUGACUUCAGGAAUAUAUGAGGCGUUGGAGUUGAGGGAUGGAGGAUCUGACUAUCUUGGCAAGGGUGUUCUUAAGGCUGUGAACAAUGUAAAUAGCAUCAUUGGACCAGCAAUUAUUGGAAAGUGUGCAAAGCUGGAGCUAUGGUGAAGAAGAUUCCUCUUUACCAGCACAUUGCAAACCUUGCUGGAAACAAAACUGUGGUGCUGCCUGUGCCUGCUUUUAAUGUGAUCAAUGGAGGAUCACAUGCUGGAAACAAGCUUGCCAUGCAGAUGGCAUGUUCAAGGGCAUCUACCACGGCAAGAAGUGCCACGCCGCUGAUAUCCCGGCCAUACUUGCGCGCGCGUGGGCCGCCGGCGUCGACCGCAUCAUUGUAAUCCCAGUGUUCGAUGUAAUGCGCCUGAGAAGCUGUCUUGUAUCUGUACAAUGCAGGGAGGCUGUUCUGCACGGUCGGCGUGCACCCAACGAGAUGUCAUUUGUGGUUCUGUUAUCUAAUCCUGUUCAUUGUUCUAUUCAGCUAAGCUCAUACUCUAGAUUUUUUAUGUGUGCCAUAUUAUAUGCAA